GAUGAACGCUGGCGGAGUGCCUAACACAUGCAAGUCGAACGAACCUUCGGGUGAGUGGCAGACGGGUGAGUAACGCAUAGAUAACCUGCCCUUAAGUCUGGGAUAACUUCUCGAAAGAGGGGCUAAUACCGGAUAUUCUCUUUUUUUCAUAAGUUAGAAAGAGGAAAGGUUUACUGCUUAAGGAGGGGUCUAUGUCUGAUUAGCUUGUUGGUGGGGUAAAAGCCUACCAAGGCGACGAUCAGUAGCUGGUCUGAGAGGAUGGUCAGCCACACUGGGACUGAGAUACGGCCCAGACUCCUACGGGAGGCAGCAGUGGGGAAUAUUGCGCAAUGGGCGAAAGCCUGACGCAGCGACGCCGCGUGAGUGAAGACGUCUUUCGGGAUGUAAAGCUCUGUCAAGAGGGAAGAUUAUGACGGUACCUCUAGAGGAAGCCCCGGCUAACUACGUGCCAGCAGCCGCGGUAAUACGUAGGGGGCGAGCGUUAUCCGGAUUUAUUGGGCAUAAAGCGCGCGCAGGCGGUAGCUUAAGUCAAAUGUUAAAGAUCAGGGCCCAACCCUGAUUCGCAGUUGAAACUGAGUUACUAGAGAUAAGGAGAGGAAAGCGGAACUCACGGUGUAGCGGUGAAAUGCGUAGAUAUCGUGAGGAACACCAGUGGCGAAGGCGGCUUUCUGGACUUAUUCUGACGCUGAGGCGCGAAAGCAUGGGUAGCGAACGGGAUUAGAUACCCCGGUAGUCCAUGCCGUAAACUGUGUUCACUAGGUGUAGGAGGUAUCGACCCCUUCUGUGCCACAGAUAAUUCGUUAAGUGAACCGCCUGGGGAGUACGACCGCAAGGUUAAAACUCAAAGGAAUUGACGGGGGCCCGCACAAGCAGUGGAGCAUGUGGUUUAAUUCGAUGAUACGCGAAAAACCUUACCAGGGUUUGACAUCUGCAGAAUCCCCUAGAGAUAGGGGAGUGCCUUCGGGAACUGCAAGACAGGUGGUGCAUGGCUGUCGUCAGCUCGUGUCGUGAGAUGUUGGGUUAAGUCCCGCAACGAGCUCAACCCUCGCACUGUGUUGCCAGCAUUUCGGAUGGGAACUCACAGUGGACUGCCCGUGGAAAGCGGGAGGAAGGUGGGGAUGACGUCAAGUCAUCAUGCCCCUUACGCCCUGGGCUACACACAUGCUACAAUGGCCGGUACAAAGGGUUGCCAAACCGCGAGGUGGAGCUAAUCUCAAAAAACCGGUCUCAGUUCGGAUUGUAGUCUGCAACUCGACUACAUGAAGUAGGAAUUGCUAGUAAACGUGAAUCAGCUACGUCGCGUUGAAUACGUUCCCGGGCCUUGUACACACCGCCCGUCACACCAUGAGAGUCGGAGACACCCGAAGCCAGUGUGCUAACCGCAAGGAGGCAGCUGUCGAAGGUGGAAUCGGCGAUUGGGGUG
Molecule: ribosomal RNA, 1423 nt
Filed under: uncultured prokaryote
Description: partial 16S ribosomal RNA
Rfam family: Bacterial small subunit ribosomal RNA
Source: RNAcentral